This 656-nucleotide long non-coding RNA is filed under the name Salmo salar (Atlantic salmon). RNAcentral describes it as "lncRNA (ENSSSAG00000089167.1)". The record is from RNAcentral. Lineage: Eukaryota; Metazoa; Chordata; Actinopteri; Salmoniformes; Salmonidae.
ACACACACACACACACACACACACACACACACACACACACACACACACACACAGGUCCUAGUGGAAUGUGUGGUGUGAGUGGCAUCAGUGUUGCUCUGCUCUCUGGUCCAUAUUCCACAGUGAGAUGGCUUUUCUCCUGGAGGCUCCUCAGCUCUCUGGUCCUCUCAUGUCUCCCUGAUGGCAUUUUUUCCUCUGUCUCUCUCCAGUCUCUCUCCAGCUGCUGUCUCUCUCCAGUCUCUCUCCAGUCUCUCUCCAGUCUCUCUCCAGUCUCUCUCCAGUCUCUCUCCAGACUCUCUCCAGUCUCUCUCCAGUCUCUCUCCAGUCUCUCUCCAGUCUCUCUCCAGCUGCUGUCUCUCUCCAGUCUCUCUCCAGUCUCUCUCCAGUCUCUCUCCAGUCUCUCUCCAGCUGCUGUCUCUCUCCAGUCUCUCUCCAGUCUCUCUCCAGUCUCUCUCCAGUCUCUCUCCAGUCUCUCUCCAGACUCUCUCCAGUCUCUCUCCAGUCUCUCUCCAGUCUCUCUCCAGUCUCUCUCCAGCUGCUGUCUCUCUCCAGUCUCUCUCAUCUCUCUCCAGUCUCUCUCCAGUCUCUCUCCAUUCUCUCUCCACUCUCUCCUCAGUCUCUCUCCAGUCUCUCUCCAGUCUCUCUCCAGUCUCUCUCCA